Long non-coding RNA from Lepisosteus oculatus (spotted gar), 1466 nucleotides. RefSeq lists it as uncharacterized. NCBI's taxonomy places the organism in Eukaryota, Metazoa, Chordata, Actinopteri, Semionotiformes, Lepisosteidae. The record is from RefSeq and is a predicted model, not a curated record.
CGAGGGACAUGUUGGAGCUGCAGUCAGCAAGCCGCAUGUGCUGUUCUUGGGAUGUGGCUUCAAUAAGCGCCCCUGCUUCCUAGAUCCACCCUCCGCGAUACAGAACAGCCCUAAUUUCUUCCACACCUGAUGGUCGCCAGAGGCGUUUCUCGGGCGGCAGUUGUCUUUAAUGCGGAUUUUUAAAAUCGUUUUGACCAGCGAGCUUCCUGGGCUGUGGGAUGUUCAGACGGAGUGGGUGGCUUUUGUCAGGUGGUAAAUGCCCACAAGAAAAGGAUGUUAUUCGGCUUGAUUCUUACCAGUGCUGUAGAUGUCGGCUCUGCACCUGGAGUGUACAACUUGACACAUCCCUGUGGCUGCCGGCAGCAGUGAUCUGUCAGGACUGAGGUUUUCCAGAGCUUCCUGGGAGUGUGAUCUGAAGUGGCCAUGUCUUCAGGAAAAUCAAACAACUCUCGAACUCCGUCCCUCCUUUGUAAUGAGGAACCUCGAGACUGCUUGAGCUGGAAAGGGGCUGGAUCUUUGGACAUUCAUAACCUUGAUGACCAAUGAACUGCACAAACACUGCACAUGAGUGCUGGUUAAAGGCUGGAACGGUGGUCAAAUGCCAAGUUCAAACCUGUAACUUUGAAGUCUUACUAAGAACAUGGACCAAUGUCUUUGCAUAUGUCUGAUCAUUGUUAAUAGCUAAGCUUUUUUUUUUUUUUUAAAGAGUCCUUUGCAGUUUAUUAACCAGAAUUGCUUCUCGGCCUUUGAGCUAAGAUCAAGUGUUUAAACAAUCAUCAAUAGCUACUGUACAGACCACAUACUAAAUGGAUUUUUGGAAUAACAAAUAGAUGGUUGUAGUGUGGAGGAAUUUGCUCAGUCUUCUCCAAGUAGUAGUGCAGAACUUGAGAUGAGGUUUCAACAGGAAGCAUAUAAUUAGGUUUCAACUAAAGCAAGAUGUCUGACAAACUGAAUGAGCAACAGUGAGUGGAUGGAUGUUUCUCUGGCUAAUGGAAAGCCAGUAAUCUUGUGGCUAUGGGUGGGUUUGUUGUACUUAAUGAGGAGCUCUUUUAAAAAAAACAAAACAAAAACAGCCAAGUUUAGAAAAAAUGAUCAGCUGUAUGUGAUUCUUAGGGGGGAGUUUAGUAACCUUAUAGGUACUGUUCUUGUAAUUUUCUAAUUGAUGGGGUGUUUAUGUCCAUGUUUUCUUGAUCGCUGAGAACAGGUGUGAUUCUGCCUGGUGGGGGGGAAAAAAAUUUCCUCUCUAUCUAAACAACAUAAUCAAUGGGUGGCUUCUGUAUGCUUCAUGUCCUUUUCUAACCAUUACCUUGUGUGUAAAAUAAAAAAAGUUACACGGUUAUAAAGAUCUUAAAUGUCAAGAAUAACUAUGAAUGUAUUUGUUGGCUCAACUCUGCCCUCCCCCAGGAAUGGUUCAGAUGUACAAGUUCUGCUUCACGGUGUAAUGGGGAAUAAAACUGUAACUACUA